UAGGGAAUUUUCGUCAAUGGGCGCAAGCCUGAACGAGCAAUGCCGCGUGAACGAGGAAGGUCUUCGGAUCGUAAAGUUCUGUUGAAGGGGAAAAAGAGCGGAGAGAGGAAAUGGUCUCCGAUUGAUAUUACCCUUCGAGGAAGUCACGGCUAACUACGUGCCAGCAGCGCGGUAAUCUCGAUCU
Molecule: ribosomal RNA, 184 nt
Filed under: uncultured bacterium
Lineage: Bacteria
Description: partial 16S ribosomal RNA
Rfam family: Bacterial small subunit ribosomal RNA
Source: RNAcentral